Molecule: ribosomal RNA, 718 nt
Filed under: uncultured cyanobacterium
Lineage: Bacteria; Bacillati; Cyanobacteriota
Description: bacterial SSU rRNA
Rfam family: Bacterial small subunit ribosomal RNA
Source: RNAcentral
AGAGUUUGAUCAUGGCUCAGGAUGAACGCUGGCGGCGUGCUUAACACAUGCAAGUCGAACGAACCUUCGGGUUAGUGGCGGACGGGUGAGUAACGCGUGGGAAUCUGCCCUCAGGAGGGGGAUAACGGCUGGAAACGGCCGCUAAUACCCCAUAUGCCGAGAGGUGAAAUGAAUUUCGCCUGAGGAUGAGCCCGCGUCUGAUUAGCUAGUUGGUGAGGUAAGAGCUCACCAAGGCAUCGAUCAGUAGCUGGUCUGAGAGGAUGAUCAGCCACACUGGGACUGAGACACGGCCCAGACUCCUACGGGAGGCAGCAGUGGGGAAUUUUCCGCAAUGGGCGAAAGCCUGACGGAGCAACGCCGCGUGAGGGAUGAAGGCCUCUGGGCUGUAAACCUCUUUUCUCAAGGAAGAAGAUCUGACGGUACUUGAGGAAUAAGCCACGGCUAAUUCCGUGCCAGCAGCCGCGGUAAUACGGGAGUGGCAAGCGUUAUCCGGAAUUAUUGGGCGUCACGCGUCCCGCCGGCGGCCCUUCAAGUCUGCUGUCAAAAAAGUGGAGCUUAACUCCAUCAUGGCAGUGGAACUGUUGGGGCUUGAGUGGUGGUAGGGGCAGAGAGAAUUCCCGGGUGUAGCGGUGAAAUGCUUAAUUAUCGGGGAAGAACACAGUGGCGAAAGCGCUCUGCUGGGGCAAUACUGACGCUCAUGGACGAAAAGCCAGGAAGG